Molecule: ribosomal RNA, 328 nt
Filed under: uncultured eukaryote
Lineage: Eukaryota
Description: partial 18S ribosomal RNA
Rfam family: Eukaryotic small subunit ribosomal RNA
Source: RNAcentral
CCCUUAGAUGUUCUGGGCCGCACGCGCGCUACAAUGAUGAAUUCAACGAGUUUAUAACCUUGGUUGAAAAGCCUGGGUAAUCUUUUGAACUUUCGUCGUGAUGGGGCUAGACCCUUGCAAUUAUUGGUCUCCAACGAGGAAUUCCUAGUAAACGCAAGUCAUCAGCUUGCAUUGAUUACGUCCCUGCCCUUUGUACACACCGCCCGUCGCUCCUACCGAUUGGGUGUGCUGGUGAAAUGUUCGGAUCGGCCGUUUGUCGCGGUUUCCGCGGCUCGUGGCUGAGAAGUUCAUUAAACCCUCCCACCUAGAGGAAGGAGAAGUCGUAACA